RNAcentral lists this ribosomal RNA (468 nucleotides) under uncultured bacterium. RNAcentral describes it as "partial 16S ribosomal RNA". It matches the Rfam family "Bacterial small subunit ribosomal RNA", at positions 28 to 507 of the family's 1533-position model. The record is from RNAcentral.
GACGAACGCUGGCGGCGUGCUUAACACAUGCAAGUCGAACGGAAAGGCCCUGCUUUUGUGGGGUGCUCGAGUGGCGAACGGGUGAGUAACACGUGAGUAACCUGCCCUUGACUUUGGGAUAACUUCAGGAAACUGGGGCUAAUACCGGAUAGGAGCUCCUGCUGCAUGGUGGGGGUUGGAAAGUUUCGGCGGUUGGGGAUGGACUCGCGGCUUAUCAGCUUGUUGGUGGGGUAGUGGCUUACCAAGGCUUUGACGGGUAGCCGGCCUGAGAGGGUGACCGGCCACAUUGGGACUGAGAUAGGGCCCAGACUCGUACGGGAGGCAGCAGUGGGGAAUAUUGCACAAUGGGCGGAAGCCUGAUGCAGCAACGCCGCGUGCGGGAUGACGGCCUUCGGGUUGUAAACCGCUUUCGCCUGUGACGAAGCGUGAGUGACGGUAAUGGGUAAAGAAGCACCGGCUAACUACGUG